GACGAACGCUGGCGGCGUGCUUAACACAUGCAAGUCGAACGGAAAGGCCCUGCUUUUGUGGGGUGCCCGAGUGGCGAACGGGUGCGUAACACGUGAGUAACCUGCCCUUGACUUUGGGAUAACUUCAGGAAACUGGGGCUAAUACCGGAUAGGAGCCCCCGCUGCAUGGAGGGGGUUGGAAAGUUUCGGCGGUUGGGGAUGGACUCGCGGCUUAUCAGCUUGUUGGUGGGGUAGUGGCUUACCAAGGCAUUGAAGGGUAGCCGGCCUGUGAGGGUGACCGGCCACAUUGGGACUGAGAUACGGCGCAGACUCCUACGGGAGGCAGCAGUGGGGAAUAUUGCACAAUGGGCGGAAGCCUGAUGCAGCGACGCCGCGGGCGGGAUGACGGCCUUCGGGUUGUAAACCGCUUUCGCCUGUGACGAAGCGUGAGUGACGGUAAUGGGUAAAGAAGCACCGGCUAACUACGUG
RNAcentral lists this ribosomal RNA (468 nucleotides) under uncultured bacterium. Its description in RNAcentral is "partial 16S ribosomal RNA". It matches the Rfam family "Bacterial small subunit ribosomal RNA", at positions 28 to 507 of the family's 1533-position model. The record is from RNAcentral.